UCCCUUGUAGCUCAGUUGGUGAAGAAUCUGCCUGCAAUGCAGAAGACCUGGGUUCAACUCCUGGGUUGGGAA
RNAcentral lists this transfer RNA (72 nucleotides) under Bos taurus (domestic cattle). It matches the Rfam family "tRNA". From Rfam's summary of the family: Transfer RNA (tRNA) molecules are approximately 80 nucleotides in length. Lineage: Eukaryota; Metazoa; Chordata; Mammalia; Artiodactyla; Bovidae. The record is from Rfam by way of RNAcentral. RNAcentral also lists the same sequence under 1 other name.